Molecule: transfer RNA, 72 nt
Filed under: Escherichia coli
Lineage: Bacteria; Pseudomonadati; Pseudomonadota; Gammaproteobacteria; Enterobacterales; Enterobacteriaceae
Also listed under: 1 other name
Description: tRNA-Gln
Rfam family: tRNA
About the family: Transfer RNA (tRNA) molecules are approximately 80 nucleotides in length. Their secondary structure includes four short double-helical elements and three loops (D, anti-codon, and T loops).
Source: RNAcentral
UGGGGUAUCGCCAAGCGGUAAGGCACCGGAUUCUGAUUCCGGCAUUCCGAGGUUCGAAUCCUCGUAUCCCAG